This 96-nucleotide small RNA is filed under the name Salmonella enterica. RNAcentral describes it as "partial RtT sRNA". It matches the Rfam family "RtT RNA", at positions 1 to 95 of the family's 130-position model. From Rfam's summary of the family: This family represents a bacterial cis-regulatory element known as RtT RNA. The exact function of RtT is unknown although it is thought that it may be involved in changing the cellular response in relation to amino acid starvation. Lineage: Bacteria; Pseudomonadati; Pseudomonadota; Gammaproteobacteria; Enterobacterales; Enterobacteriaceae. RNAcentral also lists the same sequence under 3 other names. The record is from RNAcentral.
AUAUCUCUCCGUACGGGAAGGAUGAGAAGCUUCGACUAAGGUUCGAUUCGAGCGCAGCGAGAACGCGUUGCCGCAGGCAACGACCCGAAGGGCGAA